AUUGAACGCUGCGGCAGGCCUAACACAUGCAAGUCGAGCGGUAGAGAGGUGCUUGCAUCUCUUGAGAGCGGCGGACGGGUGAGUAAUGCCUAGGAAUCUGCCCUAGUGGUGGGGGAUAACGUUCGGAAACGGACGCUAAUACCGCAUACGUCCUACGGGAGAAAGCGGGGGAUCUUCGGACCUCGCGCCAUUAGAUGAGCCUAGGUCGGAUUAGCUAGUUGGUGAGGUAAUGGCUCACCAAGGCGACGAUCCGUAACUGGUCUGAGAGGAUGAUCAGUCACACUGGAACUGAGACACGGUCCAGACUCCUACGGGAGGCAGCAGUGGGGAAUAUUGGACAAUGGGCGAAAGCCUGA
RNAcentral lists this ribosomal RNA (356 nucleotides) under uncultured bacterium. RNAcentral's name for it is "bacterial SSU rRNA". It matches the Rfam family "Bacterial small subunit ribosomal RNA", at positions 30 to 386 of the family's 1533-position model. The record is from RNAcentral.